RNAcentral lists this ribosomal RNA (579 nucleotides) under uncultured bacterium. RNAcentral describes it as "bacterial SSU rRNA". It matches the Rfam family "Bacterial small subunit ribosomal RNA", at positions 338 to 916 of the family's 1533-position model. The record is from RNAcentral.
CCUACGGGAGGCAGCAGUGAGGAAUAUUGGACAAUGGGCGCAAGCCUGAUCCAGCCAUGCCGCGUGCAGGAAGAAGCAUCUAUGGUGUGUAAACUGCUUUUGUACAGGAAGAAACACUCCCUCGUGAGGGAGCUUGACGGUACUGUAAGAAUAAGGACCGGCUAACUCCGUGCCAGCAGCCGCGGUAAUACGGAGGGUCCGAGCGUUAUCCGGAAUCAUUGGGUUUAAAGGGUCCGUAGGCGGUUUAAUAAGUCAGUGGUGAAAUCUGGUCGCUCAACGAUCAAACGGCCAUUGAUACUGUUAGACUUGAAUUAUAAGGAAGUAACUAGAAUAUGUAGUGUAGCGGUGAAAUGCUUAGAUAUUACAUGGAAUACCAAUUGCGAAGGCAGGUUACUACUUAUGGAUUGACGCUGAUGGACGAAAGCGUGGGGAGCGAACAGGAUUAGAUACCCUGGUAGUCCACGCCGUAAACGAUGGAUACUAGCUGUUCGGAGCAAUCUGAGUGGCUAAGCGAAAGUGAUAAGUAUCCACCUGGGGAAGUACGUUCGCAAGAAUUGAAACUCAAAAUUGAAUUGACGG